CAACCCAAAAACCCUUUUACUUUUUAAAAGGUACCAUAGGAGCUAUAAGCUUCACUUUUGAGCUCAUUUAGGUUACUUGAGUAUCAAAGCCACUGGAAUGAUUAAUUUCCCUGGUAAUGAGAAUUGAACAGAGCACUACAGGCUUAUCAGGCAGUUAACAAUCUAACACUAUUCACACACCAGUCACCCAGAAAAUCUUUCCCACUUUCAGGUUCUAACUUGGCAUCAAAUUAACUGUAACUUUUCAAAUAAAUAACCUGUUAUUUUAGAACAUCAAAUAUUACUGAUUUCUCUCUCUGUGCCAAGCUUUCAAGAUAAUCUUCUUUGCUUUUGCUAGUGAUGCCGUUAUCAAAGCUUUACUUUUUAGGCAGAUGAUGCAGUAGCAAUACAAUUAAAUCGGGACGGGGAGAGAGAAGACUGAAAGUUGGGUUUAUCAUGCAGUUGCCACAGGGAAGAGCUCAAAAUUCUAUUCUCCCUUAUGUGGCAGCAAAGGCUGGAUCAAGAUCACGCAAGCAAGAGAUCACUCCAGUGACAUAUAGUGCCGGGUAAAAAGCUCCUAGUAACAAUGAAACCGAUGCCACAAAAUACUUCCCAACCCACAACCCUACACCUUGUUUGGUAAAACGGAUUUCUUUAAUUUUAGAACUUUGCAUAGACUGGAUUGAAAUAAUUUUCUUCCCCCACCCCCACCCUCUACUCCUAAACCUUUCUCUAAGGGCUUUUGGGCCAAACGUUACGCUCAGAUUUCAAAAUGCAAACAGAUGUCCCAUUGCCCUAAGAAAACGGACAGCUACGCUUCAUUUCCUAGACGUGCCGGAGCUGGGUAUUUGGUUUUUGUCCCCAGUAUUUAAAAGGGGCGCAUGACCCCCUCCCCGACUUCACUUGUAGUUACAUGCGUGGGUGUCAGUUUGGGAAAGGAGGGUAUAAGGAAAUCAAACUACAGAGUCCUCCCCUACCCCUUCACCUCCCCUCCCCAAGCUGGUUCUAGGCAGAAAGGAGGACGAUGUUCUGAGAAAGCUGGCGCUGGCCGGGGAUGGAGCAAGGACCACCCUAGAGAAGCUUCUGCCCUCUGUUUUGAGAGAAAGGAGAGACAUCCUCCCCAUCACUACUCCCAAACCUCCUGAAAGUAGGAGCCUUCUUGAACCUGUGCUAACCUGGAGGAGACAAAGAACUCUGGGAUCUCUUCCAGCCCCAGUGUACCAACCGAGCCUUCUGAUCCUGGUGGUU
Molecule: long non-coding RNA, 1227 nt
Filed under: Vombatus ursinus (common wombat)
Lineage: Eukaryota; Metazoa; Chordata; Mammalia; Diprotodontia; Vombatidae
Description: lncRNA (ENSVURG00010008968.1)
Source: RNAcentral